GCCUGGGUGGCUCAGUAGUUGAGCACCUGACUUUGGCUCAGGUCAUAAUCCCAGGGUCCUAGGAUCGUGUCUUAAAUCAGGCU
Molecule: transfer RNA, 83 nt
Filed under: Canis lupus familiaris (dog)
Lineage: Eukaryota; Metazoa; Chordata; Mammalia; Carnivora; Canidae
Also listed under: 1 other name
Rfam family: tRNA
About the family: Transfer RNA (tRNA) molecules are approximately 80 nucleotides in length.
Source: Rfam by way of RNAcentral